Molecule: long non-coding RNA, 821 nt
Organism: Cyprinus carpio carpio
Lineage: Eukaryota; Metazoa; Chordata; Actinopteri; Cypriniformes; Cyprinidae
Source: Ensembl
GUUUGAUCAGAACUGUCACUGUUGAAGCACAACCUUAAACACUAAAUCAAGAAGAUCACUGCUGCACUGUAACACCUCCUGGAUCAUUAUGUAUUAAUGAAUAACUGACAGUAUAUAAUUACUCGAGUACACAUUAUAACCAGCUUAGAGGACAAUCAGUCCCUGUAUUUACUUUUCUCUGUUUUGUGUGUUCUUCCAGCAGAAAAGCUAAUGUCUAAACCCUAGCUUGAUCCUCGGGUGUUUUCUCUGGCCACACCCACAUGUCUCCUGUUUUAAUCUGGACACGUUCAGCCGUUUAAUCCCCUUUAAGAUCUUCUGACGCGGAGACUGAAGCAAAGGUUCAAAAUCAAACAAUAAUUAUGAACCUGGUUCAUCCAGUGUUCAGAUUUCUGUUCUGGAAAUGGAUAAUGGCUCAUUUGCAUAUCUAAACAACAUUUCAGAAAUCUUUCCACACGAAAAAAGUUUGAGCAGUGAAGGCCUGUGUGUGUGUGUGUCUGGGUCAGUCUGACUCUGACGGUGAUGGGAAGAUCUCUCUGUGUGAGAGGAAGACUCUGAGGAGAGAAGCUCAAGAAAGGAGAGCUGGAGGAGAUCCUGAAGCAGCUGGACCUGAGCCGAGACCGGACCGUGGAUACUGAGAGAUCAAGUUUGUGAUGACACCGUCAUCUUCCCCAUCCAACAGCAGACCAUACGGGAAAACCUGGAACAUCUGAGACCUCUUUAACUGUGAUUUAGAUGUGAAAUCAUACAUCUCUGUAAUGACAAUAUGUUUCUCUAAUUCUGCUCCACUCUAAUAUUUCACGAUCUAGAUAUUGAUCUUUAUG